GUGGUGAUUGUGCUGUGUUAUUGUGGUUUUAAAAGGCACAACCUGCCACCCUUGGACACAAAGACAGAGUUCUCCAGUGCACAAUGUAAUGAAUACACCACAUUUCCGGCUCAAGAGGCUUCGGGAAAAACUGAUUCGUGAAGAAGACCUGAGAGAUGAGCUGGAGAAUGAACUGGCCAAUCAGAUCAGCAUCAUCUCUGAGAAAGGUGUGAUAUUUACUGCAUUGGAGCGAGUGAAUUAGGACAUUUGCAGUGGAUUGGUUUGAACUUGUCUCUAAUUUUCCACACAGAGGGUCUGAUCUCCCAGUUACAGCACCGGGUGGAACGGAUGCUGCGGGAACAAGGAGAGCUGGAGAAAGACCAUAAAGCUGCAGUGCUGGAGCUCCAGGAGAAGAAUAAAAGUCUUCUCCACAGAGUUCAUGAGGUUUUAAAGCAGUGCCAAGAUUUAAAAACAGACAACUCUCAAAAAGAGAAAAAAAUUGAUGAGCUGACAGAAGAGAACGGGACUCUCAGUGCUCAGGUUUCAUGUUUUGAAGUCCUUGUUAAAUAUAUGACAGUUCUUUUUUUGGUUUGUUUAUUUUAUUUUAUUGUUCAUUUUAUUUAUUUAUAUAUUUAAUAUUUAUUUUAUUAUUUAUUAAAUAUUUAUUUUAUUUAUUUAAUUAUCUUUAAUUUAAUUGUUAGCUU
This 683-nucleotide long non-coding RNA is filed under the name Danio rerio (zebrafish). RNAcentral's name for it is "lncRNA (ENSDARG00000117638.1)". Lineage: Eukaryota; Metazoa; Chordata; Actinopteri; Cypriniformes; Danionidae. The record is from RNAcentral.